RNAcentral lists this long non-coding RNA (466 nucleotides) under Bos grunniens (domestic yak). RNAcentral's name for it is "lncRNA (ENSBGRG00000012731.1)". Lineage: Eukaryota; Metazoa; Chordata; Mammalia; Artiodactyla; Bovidae. The record is from RNAcentral.
AUGUCAAUCCUGGGAGACUCCCAGGUCCUUGGAUGUAGUUGCCGACUUCAACCUUGGGAAUCUGAAGACGAGGCUUCAACUGCAGUGAUUGCACUCAGGUCAGCAAAGGGACGAGACCCAGACUCUGCCAGUUGUCAGAGGGAGGAUCCUGAAGAAACUGCAGACACCUGCCUUUUCCAUCUGCCUCAUGAGGCCCCAGGAGUAGCUGUGACGACACUGAGCAGAACCAAGGGGUCCUCACUGCAGAGAAAGGGUGGCCCACGGAAACCUGCCCUGCUCCUUGCUCCAGCCUGGGAGACCUCAGGCUGACAAGAACAGCAGCCCGUGACACCUGGGAGCUCCCCUAAAGAGGAGACCUGGUCCCAUUGUCCUGCUGGCUACAUCCAAUACCAGCCAUCAUGUCUCUGGGUCAGAAGAGUGAGUGCUGCAAGCUUGAGGAAGACCUUCAGGCCCCAAAAGAGGCACA